CGACUGAAAUCGGCCACACUUGCAUCGGUCCUAGGGCCCUCGGAGGGCAAAAAAAUUACGAAAAACUGAAGCUUACCGACGGCGGUGCUCUCGGGUGUGGCGGCUCUCCGGCGAGGUUCGUGUUUUAGUGAUUUGGUUCCGAUCAACCUGUAGAGAAAAGAAUGGUGAUCACGGUGAUAUAAAAAUUGUAUCAAACGGAGGCCGGGAAGGGCCUUAUCGGAGGCAAAAACCGAGGAGGGGAGCAGCGGCGCCGCUGGGUUUCGGCCGUUUGGCUGGGAUUUUGGCUUCGAUUUGGCCACAGGGAAACUCAGCAUUGAAAAACAAGCCAGGGGUAUGAAAUUUACCUCGAUCGGCGGUCAGAAAACUCCCCGGUGCGGCGGCGGGUGGCGGCGGCCGGCUCCUCCGACGUCUUGUUCAUCUUCUCCGGCGAGGGCAGGCGGUUAGGGUUUUUGUGGUCAGGUGUGGGGGUUCUAUUUAUACCCUUUUGCCUUUUGAUCACAGCCGUCCAUUUUGAUUAAAUCUGGGCCGUCCGUGCGCGUCCAUCUGGGCCGUCCG
RNAcentral lists this long non-coding RNA (555 nucleotides) under Carica papaya (papaya). Its description in RNAcentral is "long non-coding RNA (CPAP_LNC013907)". The record is from RNAcentral. Lineage: Eukaryota; Viridiplantae; Streptophyta; Magnoliopsida; Brassicales; Caricaceae.